GGAGAGGAAAGAGAAUGGAGAGAGGGAGGCAGAGAGAGAAAGAGAGGGAGAGGAGAGAGAAUAGAGAGGCAGAGACAGAAAUAGAGGGAGAGGAGAGUCAAUGGAGAUACGGAGGCAGAGAGAGGAAGAGAGGGAGGCAGAGAGAGAAUGGAGAGAGGGAGGCAGAGAGAGAAAGAGAGUUAGGCAAAGAGAGAAAGAGAGGGAGAGGAGAGAGAAUGGAGAGAGGGAGAGGAGAGAGAAUGGAGAGAAGGAGAGGAGACAGAAUGGAGAGAGGGAGGCAGAGAGAGAAAUAGAGGGAGAGGAGAGUCGAUGGAGAGAGGGAGGCAGAGAGAGAAAGAGAGGGAGAGGAGAGAGAAUGGAGAGAGGGAGAGGAGAGAGAAUGGAGAAAGGGAGAGGAGAGAGAAAGAGAGGACGAGGAGAGAGAAUUGAGAGAGGGAGGCAGAGAGAGAAUGGAGAGAGGGAGGCAGAGAGAGAAAGAGAGGGAGAGGAGAGAGAAUGGAGAGAGGGAGGCAGAGAGAGAAAGAGAGGGAGGCAGAGAGAGAGAGGGAGGCAGAAAGAGAAAGAGAGGGAGGCAGAGAGACAAUGGAGAGAGGGAGGCAGAGAGAGAAGAGAGGGAGGCAGAGAGAGAAAGAGAGGGAGAGGAGAGAGAAUGGAGAGAGGGAGGCAGAGAGAGAAAGAGAGGGAGAGGAGAGAGAAUGGAGAGAGGGAGGCAGAGAGAGAAAGAGAGGGAGAGGAGAGAGAAUGGAGAGAGGGAGGCAGAGAGACAAUGGAGAGAGGGAGGCAGAGAGAGAAGAGAGGGAGGCAGAGAGACAAUGGAGAGAGGGAGAGGAGAGAGAAUGGAGAGAGACAGGCAGAGUGAGAAAGAGAGGGAGAGGAGAGAGAAUGGAGAGAGGGAGGCAGAGAGAGAAAGAGAGGGAGAGGAGAGAGAAUGGAGAGAGACAGGCAGACAGAGAAAGAGAAGGAGAGGAGAGAGAUUGGAGAGAGGGAGAGGAGAGAGAAAGAGAGGGAGAGGAGAGAAUGGAGAGAGGGAGAGGAGAGAGGAUGGAGAGGGAGAGGAGAGAGAAUGGAGAGAGGGAGAGGAGAGAGGAUGGAGAGGGAGAGGAGAGAGAAAGAGAGGGAGAGGAGAGAGAAUAGAGAGAGGGAGGCAGAGAGAGAAAUAGACGGAGAGGAGAGAAUGGAGAGAGGGAGGCAGAGAGAGAAAGAGAGGGAGAGGAGAGAGAAUGGAGAGAGGGAGGCAGAGAGAGAAAGAGAUGGAGAGUAGAGAGAAUGGAGAGAGACAGGAAGAGAGAGAAAGUGAGGGAGAGGGUGGCAGAGAGAGAAAGAGAGGGAGAGGAGAGAGAAUGGAGAGAGGGAGGCAGAGAGAGAAAGAGAUGGAGAGUAGAGAGAAUGGAGAGAGACAGGAAGAGAGAGAAAGUGAGGGAGAGGGUGGCAGAGAGAGACAGAGAGGGAGAGGAGAGAGAAUGGAGAGAGGGUGGCAAAGAGAAGGAGAGGAGAGAGAAUGGAGAGAGGGAGAGGAGAGAGAGUGGAGAGAGUGAGAGGAGAGAGAAUGGAGAGAAGGAAACAGAGAGAGAAUGGUGAGAGGGAGAGGAGAGAGAAUGGAGAGAGGGAGAGGAGAAAGAGAGGAAGAGGAGAGAAUGGAAGGAGAAAGAGAGGGAGAGGAGAGAUAAUGGAGAGAGGGACAGGAGAGAGGAUGGAGAGGGAGAGGCGAGAGAAAGAGAGGGAGAGGAGAGAUAAUGGAGAGAGGGACAGGAGAGAGGAUGGAGAGGGAGAGGCGAGAGAAAGAGAGGGAGAGGAGAGAGAAUGGAGAGAGCGUGGCAGAGAGAGAAAGAGAGGGAGAGGAGAGAGAAUGGAGAGAGGGAGGCAGAGAGAGAAAUGGAUAGAGAGGAGAGAGAAUGGAGAGAGGGAGGCAGAGAGAGAAAGAGAUGGAGAGUAGAGAGAAUGGAGAGAGACAGGAAGAGAGAGAAAGUGAGGGAGAGGGUGGCAGAGAGAGACAGAGAGGGAGAGGAGAGAGAAUGGAGAGAGGGUGGCAAAGAGAAGGAGAGGAGAGAGAAUGGAGAGAGGGAGGCAGAGAGAGAAUUAGAGAGGGAGACGAGAGUGAAUGGAGAGAGGGAGAGGAGAGAGAAUGGAGAGGGAGAGGAGAGAGAGUGGAGAGAGUGAGAGGAGAGAGAAUGGAGGGAGAGGAGAAUCGAGAGAGGGAAGCAGAGAGAGAAAAAGAGGGAGAGGAGAGCGAAUGGAGAGAGGGAGGCAGAGAGAGGAAUAGAGGGAGAGGAGAGAGAAUGGAGAGAGGGAGAGGCGAGAGAAUGGAGAGAGGGAGGCAGCGAGAGUAAGAGAGGGAGGCAGAGAGAGAAAGAGAGGGAGAGGAGAGAGAUUGGAGAGAGGGAGGCAGAGAGAGAAUGGAGAGAGGGAGGCAGAGAGAGAAGAGAGAGGGAGGCAGAGAGAGAAAGAGAGGGAGGCAGAGAGAGAGGAUAGAGAAUGGAGAGAGGGAGAGGAGAGAGAAUGGAGAGAGGGAGAGGAUAGAGAAUGGAGAGAUGGAGGCAGAGCGCAAUAGAGAGGGAGGCAGAGAGAGAAUGGAGAGAGGGAGGCAGAGAGAGAAAGAGAGGGAGUGUAGAGAGAAUGGAGAGAGGGAGGUAGAGAGAGAAUGGAGAGAGGGAGGCAGAGAGAGAAAUAGAGGGAGAGGAGAGAGAAUGGAGAGAGGGAGGCAGAGAAAGAGAAAGAGAGGGAGAGGAGAGAGAAUGGAGAGGGAGGCAGAGAGAGAAAUAGAGGGAGAGGAGAGAGGGAGGCAGAGAGAGAGAAAGAGAGGGAGGCAGAGAGAGAAAUAGAGGGAGAGGAGAGAGGGAGGCAGAGAGAGAAAUAGAGGGAGAGGAGAGAGGGAGGCAGAGAGAGAGAAAGAGAGGGAGGCAGAGAGAGAAAUAGAGGGAGAGGAGAGAGGGAGGCAGAGAGAGAAAUAGAGGGAGAGGAGAGAGGGAGGCAGAGAGAGAAAUAGAGGGAGAGGAGAGAGAAAAAAUUCUGCAAAAAUAUCCUCCGUCCACGGGACCGUGCACGGGAGUGUCAUCAUCUGACACUAAUUAGCAUAACGCAACGGACAUAAAUCUUCCUAGAAAAUCUUCCUAUUCAUGAAAAUCACAAGUGAAAUAUAUUGGAUCACAGCUUAGCCUUUUGUUAAUCACACUGUCAUCUCAGAUGUUCAAAAUGUGCUUUACAGCCAAAGCUAGACAAGCAUUUGUGUAAGUUUAUCGAUAGCCUAGCAUAGCAUUAUGCCUUGCUAGCAGCAGGCAACCUUGUCACGAAAAUCAGAAACGCAAUCAAAUUAAAUCGUUUACCUUUGAUGAUCUUCGGAUGUUUUCACUCACGAGACUCCCAGGUAGAUAGCCAAAGUUUAUUUUUUCCCAAAAUCUUAUUUUUGUAGGCGAAAUAGCUCCGUUUGUUCUUCACGUUUGGCUGAGAAAUCGACCGGAUAUUGUGGUCACGACAACGCCGAAAAAUAUUCCAAAUUAGCUCCAUAAUAUCGACAGAAACAUGGCAAACGUUGUUUAUAAUCAAUCUUCAAGGUGUUUUUCAAAUAUCUAUUCGGAAAUAUAUCAACCGGGACAAUUGGUGUCUCAGUAGAAGCGAUUGGAAUAAUGGCUACCUCUGUAUUUUAUGCAAGAAUCUCUCUGGGAGCAUCAGCUGACCACUUGCGCAAUGAAGCCGCCUACGGGUAUUCUUCAACAUAAAUGCGUAAAACUAUGUCACAAUGCUGUAGACACCUUGGGGAAUACGUAGAAAGCGUAAUCUGGUUGAUAGGGCAUUCACAGCUCAAUAGGGACGCAUCGGAACGCAGGGCUUUCAAAAGAUGAGUCACUUCCGGAUGGAUUUUUCUCAGGCUUUCGCCUGUAACAUCAGUUCUGUUAUACUCACAGACAAUAUUUUUACAGUUUUGGAAACAUGAGUGUUUUCUAUCCUAAUUAUAUGCAUAUUCUGGCAUCUCGUCCUGACAAAAUAUCCCGUUUAAUUUGGGAACGUUUUUUUUCCAAAAAUGAAAAUACUGCCCCCUAGUACCAACAGGUUAGAUUCUACAACCACCUAAAAGGAAGCGAUUCCCAAACCUUCCAUAACAAAGCCAUCACCUACAGAGAGAUGAACCUGGAGAAGAGUCCCCUAUGCAAGCUGGUCCUGGGGCUCUGUUCAGAAACACAAACACACCCCACAGAGCCCCAGGAGAGCAGCACAAUUAGACCCAACCAAAUCAUGAGAAAACAAAAAGAUAAUUACUUGACACAUUGGAAAGAAUUAACAAAAAAACAGAGCAAACUAUAAUGCUAUUUGGCCUUAAACAGAGAGUACACAGUGGCAGAAUACCUGACCACUGUGACUGACCCAAACUUAAGGAAAGCUUUGACUAUGUACAGACUCAGUGAGCAUAGCCUUGCUAUUGAGAAAGGCCGCUGUAGGCAGACCUGGCUCUCAAGAGAAGACAGGCUAUGUGCUCACUGCCCACAAAAUGAGGUGGAAACUGAGCUGCACUUCUUAACCUCCUGCCCAAUGUAUGACCAUAUUAGAGAGACAUAUUUCCCUCAUAUUACACAGAUCCACAAAGAAUUCGAAAACAAAUCCAAUUUUGAUAAACUCCCAUAUUUACUGGGGGAAAUUCCACAGUGUGCCAUCACAGCAGCAAGAAUUGUGACCUGUUGCCACGAGAAAAGGGCAACCAGUGAAGAACAAACACCAUUGUAAAUACAACCCAUAUUUAUGCUUAUUUAUUUUCCCUUGUGUUCUUUAACCAUUUGUACAUUGUUAAAACACUGUAUAUAUAUAAUAUGACAUUUGUAAUGUCUUUAUUGUUUUGAAACUUCUGUAUGUGUAAUGUUUACUGUUAAUUUGUAUUGUUUAUUUCACUUUUGUAUAUUAUCUACCUCACUUGCUUUGGCAAUGUUAACACAUGUUUCCCAUGCCAAUAAAGCCCCUUGAAUUGAAUUGAACGAGAGGGAGAGGAGAGAGAAUGGAGAGAGGGAGGCAGAGAGAGAAUGGAGAGAGGGAGAGGAGAGAGAAUGGAGAGAGGGAGAGGAGAGAGAAUGGAGAGAGGGAGAGGAGAGAGGAUGGAGAGAGGGAGAGGAGAGAGAAUGGAGAGAGGGAGGCAGAGAGAGAUUGGAGAGAGGGAGAGGAGAGAGAAUAGAGAGAGGGAGAGGAUAGAGAAUGGAGAGGGAUAGGAGAGAGAAUGGUAAGAGUGAGAGGAGAGAGAGGGAGAGGAUAAUCGAGAGAGGGAGAGGAGAGAGAACGAGAGGGAGAGGAGAGAGAAAUAGAGGGAGAGGAGAGAGAGGGAGAGGAUAAUCGAGAGAGGGAGGCAGAGAGAGAACGAGAGGGAGAGGAGAGAGAAAUAGAGGGAGAGGAGAGAGAAUGGAGAGAUGGAGGCAGAGAGAGAAAGAGAGGGAGGCAGAGAGAGAAAGAGAGGGAGAGGAUAGAGAAUGGAGAGAGGGAGAGGAGAGAGAAUGGAGAGAGGGAGGCAGAGAGAGAAAGAGAGGGAGAGGAGAGAGAGAGAGGAGGUGAUGCAGACCUCUCACAUCCUCAUCCUAGUGCAUGAUCUGCCAAUGUGUCAGGAUUAAUGUGUGAGCAGAGUUUGUGUGUGUGUGUGCAUGUGUGUGCGUGUGUGUGUGUGUGUGUGUGUGUGUGUGUGUGUGUGUGUGUGUGUGAGCAAGCAAGGCAUUAGCUCAUCUCUGAGUGCUGAGGGACUAGCAGUGUUCUGUAAUCCUACCAGUCACACACACACACACACACACACACACACACACAC
Long non-coding RNA from Oncorhynchus tshawytscha (Chinook salmon), 5767 nucleotides. Lineage: Eukaryota; Metazoa; Chordata; Actinopteri; Salmoniformes; Salmonidae. The record is from Ensembl.